GGUUUUGUAGCUUAGUUCGUUAUAGCGUUGGUCUUUUGAGCCGAAGGUUGUGGGUUCGAGGCCCGCUGGAACCA
Molecule: non-coding RNA, 74 nt
Organism: Cucurbita moschata (crookneck pumpkin)
Lineage: Eukaryota; Viridiplantae; Streptophyta; Magnoliopsida; Cucurbitales; Cucurbitaceae
Source: the annotation of a RefSeq genome assembly